Molecule: ribosomal RNA, 474 nt
Filed under: Kosmiomiris rubroornatus
Lineage: Eukaryota; Metazoa; Arthropoda; Insecta; Hemiptera; Miridae
Description: partial small subunit ribosomal RNA
Rfam family: Bacterial large subunit ribosomal RNA (bases 341-474)
Source: RNAcentral
AAAUUAAAUGGCUGCAGUAUUUUGACUGUACAAAGGUAGCAUAAUCAUUUGUUUCUUAAUUGGAAACUAGUAUGAAUGGUUGGACAAAAAAUAUGUUUUCUUUAUUUUAUAAAAUGAAAUUAAUUUUUUAGUUAAAAAGCUAAAAUAUAUUUAUAGGACGAGAAGACCCUAUAGAAUUUUAUUUGUAUUUAAUUAUUAAUUAAUUAGUUUAUUUAUUUUAAUAUUUAAAUAUGAAUUACGUUGGGGUGAUGAAAAAAAUUAUAUAACUUUUUUUAUAUUUAACAUUUAUAUAUGUAUUUUUGAUCCUUUUAUAAGGAGAAUAAGAUUAAAUUACCUUAGGGAUAACAGCGUUAUUUUUUUAGAGAGUUCUUAUCGAUAAAAGAGUUUGCGACCUCGAUGUUGGAUUAAAAUAAGUGGUAGAAGUAGAAAGUUACUUACUAGGUCUGUUCGACCUUUAAAUUUUUACAUGAUCUA